RNAcentral lists this ribosomal RNA (101 nucleotides) under Vannella robusta. RNAcentral's name for it is "Vannella sp. CB-2014 partial Eukaryotic large subunit ribosomal RNA". It matches the Rfam family "Eukaryotic large subunit ribosomal RNA", at positions 892 to 992 of the family's 3401-position model. Lineage: Eukaryota; Discosea; Flabellinia; Vannellidae. The record is from RNAcentral.
UGCAAAUCGAUCUUCAAAUUUGAGAAGAGGGGCGAAAGACUAAUCGAUCCAUCUAGUAGCUAGUUCCCUCCGAAGUUUCUCUUAGGAUAGCUGUGGAGGAA